AGAGUUUGAUCAUGGCUCAGAUUGAACGCUGGCGGCAGGCCUAACACAUGCAAGUCGAACGGUAACAGGAAGCAGCUUGCUGCUUUGCUGACGAGUGGCGGACGGGUGAGUAAUGUCUGGGAAACUGCCUGAUGGAGGGGGAUAACUACUGGAAACGGUAGCUAAUACCGCAUAAUGUCGCAAGACCAAAGAGGGGGACCUUCGGGCCUCUUGCCAUCGGAUGUGCCCAGAUGGGAUUAGCUAGUAGGUGGGGUAAAGGCUCACCUAGGCGACGAUCCCUAGCUGGUCUGAGAGGAUGACCAGCCACACUGGAACUGAGACACGGUCCAGACUCCUACGGGAGGCAGCAGUGGGGAAUAUUGCACAAUGGGCGCAAGCCUGAUGCAGCCAUGCCGCGUGUAUGAAGAAGGCCUUCGGGUUGUAAAGUACUUUCAGCGGGGAGGAAGGGAGUAAAGUUAAUACCUUUGCUCAUUGACGUUACCCGCAGAAGAAGCACCGGCUAACUCCGUGCCAGCAGCCGCGGUAAUACGGAGGGUGCAAGCGUUAAUCGGAAUUACUGGGCGUAAAGCGCACGCAGGCGGUUUGUUAAGUCAGAUGUGAAAUCCCCGGGCUCAACCUGGGAACUGCAUCUGAUACUGGCAAGCUUGAGUCUCGUAGAGGGGGGUAGAAUUCCAGGUGUAGCGGUGAAAUGCGUAGAGAUCUGGAGGAAUACCGGUGGCGAAGGCGGCCCCCUUGACGAAGACUGACGCUCAGGUGCGAAAGCGUGGGGAGCAAACAGGAUUAGAUACCCUGGUAGUCCACGCCGUAAACGAUGUCGACUUGGAGGUUGUGCCCUUGAGGCGUGGCUUCCGGAGCUAACGCGUUAAGUCGACCGCCUGGGGAGUACGGCCGCAAGGUUAAAACUCAAAUGAAUUGACGGGGGCCCGCACAAGCGGUGGAGCAUGUGGUUUAAUUCGAUGCAACGCGAAGAACCUUACCUGGUCUUGACAUCCACGGAAGUUUUCAGAGAUGAGAAUGUGCCUUCGGGAACCGUGAGACAGGUGCUGCAUGGCUGUCGUCAGCUCGUGUUGUGAAAUGUUGGGUUAAGUCCCGCAACGAGCGCAACCCUUAUCCUUUGUUGCCAGCGGUCCGGCCGGGAACUCAAAGGAGACUGCCAGUGAUAAACUGGAGGAAGGUGGGGAUGACGUCAAGUCAUCAUGGCCCUUACGACCAGGGCUACACACGUGCUACAAUGGCGCAUACAAAGAGAAGCGAUCUCGCGAGAGCAAGCGGACCUCAUAAAGUGCGUCGUAGUCCGGAUUGGAGUCUGCAACUCGACUCCAUGAAGUCGGAAUCGCUAGUAAUCGUGGAUCAGAAUGCCACGGUGAAUACGUUCCCGGGCCUUGUACACACCGCCCGUCACACCAUGGGAGUGGGUUGCAAAAGAAGUAGGUAGCUUAACCUUCGGGAGGGCGCUUACCACUUUGUGAUUCAUGACUGGGGUGAAGUCGUAACAAGGUAACCGUAGGGGAACCUGCGGUUGGAUCACCU
This 1530-nucleotide ribosomal RNA is filed under the name Escherichia coli UMEA 3707-1. RNAcentral describes it as "bacterial SSU rRNA". It matches the Rfam family "Bacterial small subunit ribosomal RNA". Lineage: Bacteria; Pseudomonadati; Pseudomonadota; Gammaproteobacteria; Enterobacterales; Enterobacteriaceae. The record is from RNAcentral.